ACUACGGGUGGCAGCAGUGAGGAAUAUUGGUCAAUGGACGAGAGUCUGAACCAGCCAAGUAGCGUGAAGGAUGACUGCCCUAUGGGUUGUAAACUUCUUUUAUAUGGGAAUAAAACGUUCCACGUGUGGGAUUUUGUAUGUACCAUAUGAAUAAGGAUCGGCUAACUCCGUGCCCGCAGCCGCGGUAAUGCGGAGGAUCCGAGCGUUAUCCGGAUUUAUUGGGUUUAAAGGGAGCGUAGGUGGAUUGUUAAGUCAGUUGUGAAAGUUUGCGGCUCAACCGUAAAAUUGCAGUUGAAACUGGCAGUCUUGAGUACAGUAGAGGUGGGCGGAAUUCGUGGUGUAGCGGUGAAAUGCUUAGAUAUCACGAAGAACUCCGAUUGCGAAGGCAGGUCACUGGACUGUAACUGACGUUGAGGCUCGAAGGCGUGGGGAGCAAACAGGAUUAGAUACCCUAGUAGUC
This 460-nucleotide ribosomal RNA is filed under the name uncultured bacterium. RNAcentral's name for it is "partial 16S ribosomal RNA". It matches the Rfam family "Bacterial small subunit ribosomal RNA", at positions 338 to 795 of the family's 1533-position model. The record is from RNAcentral.